AGUGAACGCUGGCGGCGUGCCUAACACAUGCAAGUCGAACGAUGAUGGAGGAGCUUGCUCUUCCUGAUUAGUGGCGCACGGGUGAGUAAUGCAUAGAUAAUGUGCCCCUUAGUUCGGGAUAGCCACUGGAAACGGUGAUUAAUACCGGAUACUCCUUCUUAUCAUAAGAUAAGUCGGGAAAGUUUUUCGCUAAGGGAUCAGUCUAUGUUCCAUCAGUUAGUUGGUGAGGUAACGGCUCACCAAGACAAUGACGGAUAUCUGGUUUGAGAGGAUGAUCAGACACACUGGAACUGAGACACGGUCCAGACUCCUACGGGAGGCAGCAGUGAGGAAUAUUGCACAAUGGAGGAAACCCUGAUGCAGCAACGCCGCGUGGAGGAUGACGCAUUUCGGUGUGUAAACUCCUUUUAUUAGGGAAGAUUAUGACGGUACCUAAUGAAUAAGCACCGGCUAACUCCGUGCCAGCCGCCGCAGUAA
Molecule: ribosomal RNA, 477 nt
Filed under: uncultured bacterium
Lineage: Bacteria
Description: partial 16S ribosomal RNA
Rfam family: Bacterial small subunit ribosomal RNA
Source: RNAcentral